Molecule: transfer RNA, 85 nt
Filed under: Felis catus (domestic cat)
Lineage: Eukaryota; Metazoa; Chordata; Mammalia; Carnivora; Felidae
Rfam family: tRNA
About the family: Transfer RNA (tRNA) molecules are approximately 80 nucleotides in length.
Source: Rfam by way of RNAcentral
GCCUGGGUGGCUCAGUCGGUUGAGCGUUCGACUUCGGCUCAGGUCAUGAUCUCGUGGUCUGUGGGUUCGAGCCCCACGUCAGGCU